GACGAACGCUGGCGGCGUGCUUAACACAUGCAAGUCGAACGGAAAGGCCCUGCUUUUGUGGGGUGCUCGAGUGGCGAACGGGUGAGUUACACGUGAGUAACCUGCCCUUGACUUUGGGAUAACUUCAGGAAACUGGGGCUAAUACCGGAUAGGAGCUCCUGCUGCAUGGUGGGGGUUGGAAAGUUUCGGCGGUUGGGGAUGGACUCGCGGCUUAUCAGCUUGUUGGUGGGGUAGUGGCUUACCAAGGCUUUGACGGGUAGCCGGCCUGAGAGGGUGACCGGCCACAUUGGGACUGAGAUACGGCCCAGACUCCUACGGGAGGCAGCAGUGGGGAAUAUUGCACAAUGGGCGGAAGCCUGAUGCAGCAACGCCGCGUGCGGGAUGACGGCCUUCGGGUUGUAAACCGCUUUCGCCUGUGACGAAGCGUGAGUGACGGUAAUGGGUAAAGAAGCACCGGCUAACUACGUG
RNAcentral lists this ribosomal RNA (468 nucleotides) under uncultured bacterium. RNAcentral's name for it is "partial 16S ribosomal RNA". It matches the Rfam family "Bacterial small subunit ribosomal RNA", at positions 28 to 507 of the family's 1533-position model. The record is from RNAcentral.